This 253-nucleotide ribosomal RNA is filed under the name uncultured bacterium. Its description in RNAcentral is "partial 16S ribosomal RNA". It matches the Rfam family "Bacterial small subunit ribosomal RNA", at positions 524 to 776 of the family's 1533-position model. The record is from RNAcentral.
UACAGAGGGGGCAAGCGUUGUUCGGAAUUACUGGGCGUAAAGGGCGCGUAGGCGGCCUGCUAAGUCGAACGUGAAAUCCCUGAGCUCAACUCGGGAACUGCGUCCGAUACUGACAGGCUUGAAUCCGGGAGAGGGAUGCGGAAUUCCAGGUGUAGCGGUGAAAUGCGUAGAUAUCUGGAGGAACACCGGUGGCGAAGGCGGCAUCCUGGACCGGCAUUGACGCUGAGGCGCGAAAGCUAGGGGAGCAAACGGG